This 419-nucleotide long non-coding RNA is filed under the name Mustela putorius furo (domestic ferret). RNAcentral describes it as "lncRNA (ENSMPUG00000031204.1)". The record is from RNAcentral. Lineage: Eukaryota; Metazoa; Chordata; Mammalia; Carnivora; Mustelidae.
AUCCAAGCCCACUGCGAGACUGGCUUUGCUGCCAAAAGCACACUUGAUCAAAUCCCUGCACUCCAGGGGCUUAUUCAGGUUCAGCCACAGACUGAUAGCUGACCAACCCCUGGAGAACUGAGAAAUACACAUUUGGAAGACACUUGGAGUCUGUGUUGAGAAAGCAGACAGAAAGGUUGCCGGGCAAUUGGGAAACAAGCCAAUAGGAGCCCUGUGGAUUGAAGACUGAGGUGCACUUGGAGAUCUUCAUUUCCUGGGAUGCAUCAGUGUUAUGUGGAGCUUAAUUAUGGCUAACCCUGGGAGAAAAUAGUCUGAAGGUUUUCCUUCAAGAGAGACUAACUCAGCAUGAAGCCCUGCCCUUCAGAGUCUCCCAUCUUCUACCAUUAGAAAGUGGGGAUUCUCCAUGAGCAAAAGCUUCC